RNA transcript from Leptopilina boulardi, 732 nucleotides. RefSeq lists it as uncharacterized. The transcript has 5 exons. The record is from RefSeq and is a predicted model, not a curated record. Lineage: Eukaryota; Metazoa; Arthropoda; Insecta; Hymenoptera; Figitidae.
GCAGAAUCAUUUGCAAUUCGUUUUGUAAGAAAGUGUGAAAGAGAAAAUAAAAUAACAUGAAGUGCAUUUUUUUGUCUUUUAUUCUGGCUUUUUAUACCUUACAAGCACCUUCUACAGGCAGAACAAUCAACAAUUUAGAAUUUCGUGAAAAAGAACAAUUCGUCAAUCUUAAGUUACGUGACAAUUUUCCGACAACUUUUGAAAACAAUCAAACGUAUCCAAAAACAGUCAACAAUUUAAACUUAGAUGCAAUAAAUCAAACCAUCAUCAUACAAAAUCAUGGGAAUCUUAAUUUACACGGAACAAAUGAAAAUUUACCCAUAAAUGAAUAUAGACUGAGUGACGAAAUCAUAAAAUGGAAAUUAGAUACAGCGAAAAUAAUUUUCAAGACUGCAAGAGAAUUCAUACCUCCUUUACAGAAACUGAUGCAGGGAUUUAUGGAAACAAAUUUCACAAAAUUUUAAUUUAAGAAAAAGAGCCUGCAGAAUCACGUGCCAAUAAGGAUAAAAUAGGUACACUGAAAAGACAACUUUUGCAGCCAAAACAAACAACAACUUAAAUUUUGACGCAGAGAAACAAAUAAUCGUGAUAAAAAAUCAUGGAAAUAUUACUAUAACCAAAAAAGAAAAUGUUGAACCUCUGGUAAGAAAAAAUGUAAUAAUUCUUUUAUAAAAAUUAUUAUAACAAAAAAAUGUUCAUGAAAUUUCAAAUAUAAAUUACAAUGCAUAAUUA